GUCACCGUGAGGUGAGGUCUGAAGGAAGCCGCAGGCAAAAUGCUGCUCUGACGAACAGGAAUCGCACACGAGGCGUUGUUACUGGAUAAGAAGGCCAAUAUCUUCAAAGUCCAAUAGUUACACGGAAAGUAUCAACGUAUAUGCGGCAGAGAUAAGCAGGAAGGCGUAUGUG
RNAcentral lists this non-coding RNA (172 nucleotides) under Sedimentisphaera salicampi. The record is from RNAcentral. Lineage: Bacteria; Pseudomonadati; Planctomycetota; Phycisphaerae; Sedimentisphaerales; Sedimentisphaeraceae.